RNAcentral lists this transfer RNA (93 nucleotides) under Candidatus Pelagibacter sp. RNAcentral describes it as "tRNA-Ser". It matches the Rfam family "tRNA". From Rfam's summary of the family: Transfer RNA (tRNA) molecules are approximately 80 nucleotides in length. Their secondary structure includes four short double-helical elements and three loops (D, anti-codon, and T loops). The record is from RNAcentral. Lineage: Bacteria; Pseudomonadati; Pseudomonadota; Alphaproteobacteria; Candidatus Pelagibacterales; Candidatus Pelagibacteraceae.
GGAAGAGUGGGUGAGCUGGUUUAAACCAUUCGGUUGCUAACUGAACGUACGAGGAAACUUGUACCAUGGGUUCGAAUCCCAUCUCUUCCGCCA